This 1824-nucleotide ribosomal RNA is filed under the name Trichinella sp. T6. RNAcentral's name for it is "SSU rRNA". It matches the Rfam family "Eukaryotic small subunit ribosomal RNA". The record is from RNAcentral. Lineage: Eukaryota; Metazoa; Nematoda; Enoplea; Trichinellida; Trichinellidae.
AACCUGGUUGAUCCUGCCAGUAGUCAUAUGCUUGUCUCAAAGAUUAAGCCAUGCAUGUGUAAGCACACACUGUUUAAAAGUGAAGCCGCGAAUGGCUCAUUACAACAGCCACAGUUUAUUAGAACUUACAAUCAUGGAUAACUGUGGUAAUUCUAGAGCUAAUACACGCACAAAAACUUCAACUGAAUUGGUUGAAGUGCUUUUAUUAGAACAAAAACCGAACGGCGUUUGACGAAUGUUGAACGUCGAAACUGUUUGGUGAAUCUGAAUAACUAUUUCUGAUCGCAUGGUCUAGCACCGGCGACAUCACUUUCAAGUGUCUGCCUUAUCAACCUUCGAUGGUAGUCUAUGCGACUACCAUGGUGAUAACGGGUAACGGAGAAUCAGGGUUCGACUCCGGAGAGGGAGCCUGAGAAACGGCUACCACAUCCAAGGAAGGCAGCAGGCGCGCAAAUUACCCACUCCCAGCUUGGGGAGGUAGUGACGAAAAAUAACGAGACGAUUCUCGUUUGAGAAACGUUAUCGAAAUGAGUACGCUUUACACACGCUAACGAGUAGCAAUUGGAGGGCAAGUCUGGUGCCAGCAGCCGCGGUAAUUCCAGCUCCAAUAGCGUAUAUUAAAGUUGCUGCGGUUAAAACGCUCGUAGUUGAAUUGUAGUCUUAGACAACAGUCCCCCUACAUAGGUGUGGCACGGUUGCUCGAGAUCUUCAUUCGUGGUUGCUGUUGUUGCUCUUCAUUGAGUGUCAAUGGUGCCUCGAGAUUUUACUUUGAAAAAAUUAGAGUGCUCAAAGCAGGUUGUGAUGCCUGAAUAAUGGUGCAUGGAAUAAUAGAAUACGAUCUCGGUCCUAUUUUGUUGGUUUUCGAACCGGAGAUAAUGAUUGAAAGGAACAGACGGGGGCAUUCGUAUUGCUGCGUUAGAGGUGAAAUUCUUGGAUCGCAGCAAGAUGAACAAUUGCGAAAGCAUUUGCCAAGAAUGUUUUCAUUAAUCAAGAACGAAAGUUAGAGGUUCGAAGGCGAUCAGAUACCGCCCUAGUUCUAACGGUAAACUAUGCCAACCAGCGAUUCGCCGAAGUUCAUUUAAGACUCGGCGAGCAGCUUCCGGGAAACCAAAGUGUUUCGGUUCCGGGGGAAGUAUGCUUGCAAAGCUGAAACUUAAAGGAAUUGACGGAAGGGCACCACCAGGAGUGGAGCCUGCGGCUUAAUUUGACUCAACACGGGAAAACUCACCCGGCCCGGACACUGGAAGGAUUGACAGAUUGACAGCUCUUUCUUGAUUCAGUGGGUAGUGGUGCAUGGCCGUUCUUAGUUGGUGGAGCGAUUUGUCUGGUUAAUUCCGAUAACGAACGAGACUCUACCCUAUUAAAUAGUGACAGUAUUGUAUUUUUUGUGCUGAUCACUUCUUAGAGGGACUGGCAAAUUGAAAGCUGCACGAAAAAGAGCAAUAACAGGUCUGUGAUGCCCUUCGAUGUCCGGGGCUGCACGCGCGCUACAAUGAAAGCGUCAACGUGAGUUACGUCCUUACCUGAAAAGGUUUGGCAAUCGAAUGAAACGUUUUCUUGAAUGGAAUAGGGAAUUGCAAUUGUUUCCCUUGAACGAGGAAUUCCCAGUAAGCGUGAGUCAUUAGCUCGCGUUGAUUACGUCCCUGCCCUUUGUACACACCGCCCGUCGCUACUACCGAUUGGAUGAUUUAGUGAGGUGUUUUGACUGGCGCCAGUAGUCGGAUGUAUUCGGCUUCGCGCCGGGAAAUUUCCCAAACCAAAUCAUCUAGAGGAAGUAAAAGUCGUAACAAGGUUUCCGUAGGUGAACCUGCGGAAGGAUCAUUA